RNAcentral lists this transfer RNA (77 nucleotides) under Hafnia paralvei. RNAcentral's name for it is "tRNA-Met". It matches the Rfam family "tRNA". Rfam says of the family: Transfer RNA (tRNA) molecules are approximately 80 nucleotides in length. Their secondary structure includes four short double-helical elements and three loops (D, anti-codon, and T loops). Lineage: Bacteria; Pseudomonadati; Pseudomonadota; Gammaproteobacteria; Enterobacterales; Hafniaceae. The record is from RNAcentral.
GGCCCUUUAGCUCAGUUGGUUAGAGCAGUCGACUCAUAAUCGAUUGGUCGCUUGUUCAAGUCCAGCAAGGGCCAGCA